Molecule: ribosomal RNA, 1365 nt
Filed under: uncultured bacterium
Lineage: Bacteria
Description: bacterial SSU rRNA
Rfam family: Bacterial small subunit ribosomal RNA
Source: RNAcentral
GAUGAACCCUAGCGGCAGGCUUAACACAUGCAAGUCGCGGGGCAGCGGGGGAUGAGCUUGCUCAUCCCGCCGGCGACCGGCGCACGGGUGAGUAACACGUAUGCAACCUGCCCCUGUCAGGGGGACAACCCACCGAAAGGUGGGCUAAACCCGCGUACAUCCGGAGGGGGCAUCCCCUUGGGAGGAAAGGAGCGAUCCGGACAGGGAUGGGCAUGCGGCGCAUUGGAUAGUUGGUGGGGCAACGGCCCACCAAGCCGACGAUGCGUAGGGGUUCUGAGAGGAAGGUCCCCACAUUGGAACUGAGACACGGUCCAAACUCCUACGGGAGGCAGCAGUGAGGAAUAUUGGUCAAUGGCCGGAAGGCUGAACCAGCCAAGUCGCGUGAGGGAAUAAGGCCCUACGGGUCGUAAACCUCUUUUGCCAGGGAGCAAUGCCGUCCACGUGUGGACGGAAGGAGAGUACCUGGAGAAAAAGCAUCGGCUAACUCCGUGCCAGCAGCCGCGGUAAUACGGAGGAUGCGAGCGUUAUCCGGAUUUAUUGGGUUUAAAGGGUGCGUAGGCGGCCUGCCAAGUCAGCGGUAAAAUUGCGGGGCUCAACCCCGUACAGCCGUUGAAACUGCCGGGCUCGAGUGGGCGAGAAGUAUGCGGAAUGCGUGGUGUAGCGGUGAAAUGCAUAGAUAUCACGCAGAACCCCGAUUGCGAAGGCAGCAUACCGGCGCCCGACUGACGCUGAGGCACGAAAGUGCGGGGAUCAAACAGGAUUAGAUACCCUGGUAGUCCGCACAGUAAACGAUGAAUGCUAGCUGUCCGGGGGGGAUUGACCCCUGGGUGGCACAGCGAAAGCGUUAAGCAUUCCACCUGGGGAGUACGCCGGCAACGGUGAAACUCAAGGGAAUUGACGGGGACCCGCACAAGCGGUGGAGCAUGUGGUUUAAUUCGAAGCAACGCGAAGAACCUUACCUGGUCUUGACAUCCCGAUGACGAGUGAGCAAAGUCACUUUCCCUUCGGGGCAUUGGAGACAGGUGGUGCAUGGUUGUCGUCAGCUCGUGUCGUGAGAUGUCGGCUUAAGUGCCAUAACGAGCGCAACCCCCGCGGGCAGUUGCUAACAGGUUAAGCUGAGGACUCUGCCCGGACUGCCGGCGCAAGCCGCGAGGAAGGCGGGGAUGACGUCAAAUCAGCACGGCCCUUACGUCCGGGGCGACACACGUGUUACAAUGGGCGGUACAGCGGGAAGCCAGGCGGCGACGCCGAGCGGAACCCGAAAGCCGUUCUCAGUUCGGAUCGGAGUCUGCAACCCGACUCCGUGAAGCUGGAAUCACUAGUAAUCGCGAAUCAGAAUGUCGCGGUGAAUACGUUCCCGGGUCU